UCGGGAAUUUUGGGCAAUGGGCGAAAGCCUGAUCCAGCCAUGCCGCGUGUGUGAAGAAGGUCUUCGGAUUGUAAAGCACUUUAAGUUGGGAGGAAGGGCAGUAACCUAAUACGUUGCUGUCUUGACGUUACCGACAGAAUAAGCACCGGCUAACUCUGUGCCAGCAGCCGCGGUAAUACAGAGGGUGCAAGCGUUAAUCGGAAUUACUGGGCGUAAAGCGCGCGUAGGUGGUUUGUUAAGUUGGAUGUGAAAUCCCCGGGCUCAACCUGGGAACUGCAUUCAAAACUGACAAGCUAGAGUAUGGUAGAGGGUGGUGGAAUUUCCUGUGUAGCGGUGAAAUGCGUAGAUAUAGGAAGGAACACCAGUGGCGAAGGCGACCACCUGGACUGAUACUGACACUGAGGCGCGAAAGCAAGGGGAUCAAACAGGAUUAGAUACCCCAGUAGUCCCUGAGCGGGCUGGCAAGGCGCAU
Molecule: ribosomal RNA, 472 nt
Filed under: uncultured bacterium
Lineage: Bacteria
Description: bacterial SSU rRNA
Rfam family: Bacterial small subunit ribosomal RNA
Source: RNAcentral